This 247-nucleotide ribosomal RNA is filed under the name uncultured bacterium. RNAcentral's name for it is "partial 16S ribosomal RNA". It matches the Rfam family "Bacterial small subunit ribosomal RNA", at positions 523 to 769 of the family's 1533-position model. The record is from RNAcentral.
AUACGAAGGGGGCUAGCGUUGUUCGGAAUUACUGGGUGUAAAGGGAGCGUAGACGGCACUGCAAGUCUGGAGUGAAAGCCCGGGGCUCAACCCCGGGACUGCUUUGGAAACUGUGGUGCUAGAGUGCAGGAGAGGUAAGUGGAAUUCCUAGUGUAGCGGUGAAAUGCGUAGAUAUUAGGAGGAACACCAGUGGUGAAGGCGGCUUACUGGACUGUAACUGACGUUGAGGCUCGAAAGCGUGGGGAGC